RNAcentral lists this ribosomal RNA (253 nucleotides) under uncultured bacterium. RNAcentral's name for it is "partial 16S ribosomal RNA". It matches the Rfam family "Bacterial small subunit ribosomal RNA", at positions 524 to 776 of the family's 1533-position model. The record is from RNAcentral.
UACAGAGGUCCCAAGCGUUGUUCGGAAUCACUGGGCGUAAAGCGCACGUAGGCGGCUUUCUAAGUCAGGGGUGAAAUCCUGGAGCUCAACUCCAGAACUGCCUUUGAUACUGGAGAGCUUGAGUCCGGAAGAGGUGAGUGGAACUCCGAGUGUAGAGGUGAAAUUCGUAGAUAUUCGGAAGAACACCAGUGGCGAAGGCGGCUCACUGGCCCGGUACUGACGCUGAGGUGCGAAAGCGUGGGGAGCAAACAGG